AGAGUAGAGUAUGCUCUCUGAAAGGAGGAGUUUAGACUGAAUCCUUUAGAACGGAUAAUUUAAUGAGUCGUUUUUGACGCUGGGGAAAAAAGGGUUAUAAUCCUGAGGUCUGGCUAAACUUCAACCAUCAACUGGGGGAAACAUCCAAACAGGAGAAUGGAGAACAUUUCUUCUUACGACUCUUCACAAAUUCAUCAGUGAGUUGGGCAAGGAUUGGGACCAGUGGCUGUGCUACCUCCUGUUUGCAUAUAGAGAAGUUCCCCAGGCCUGGACUGGAUUCUCUCCUUUUGAGUUGAUAUAUGGACAUGAGGUGAGAGGCCCUUUGACCCUACUUCAAGAACUGUGGGAAGUAACCCAGGGUAGUGGGGACCUGUAAAUGUGAUCUAUGUUGUGCAGAUGAGGGAAUGGUUGGAGGCAAUGAUGAAACUGGCUCAAACUCACAUAGCUGAAGCACAAAGCUACCAGAAGUCAUGGUAUGAUCAGUUCGCUUGUGAGCGGAGUUUUAACCCUGGCCAGAAACUGCUGGUGUCAAGAGAGCAAACUAUUAGCGAAAUGGCAGGGUCCAUUUGAGAUCAAGCGGAAGCUGGAGGAGCCGGUCACAGAAUGUGUUAAUUUAGAUCAUUUGCCAAAGUGUCAGCAAUUGCAGGUCAGAGCUCUUUGCCACCCUGACC
Molecule: long non-coding RNA, 671 nt
Organism: Ictalurus punctatus (channel catfish)
Lineage: Eukaryota; Metazoa; Chordata; Actinopteri; Siluriformes; Ictaluridae
Source: Ensembl